CGCAUGGUCUGGUGGUGGAAAGAUUUUUUGGUUGGGGAUGGACUCGCGGCCUAUCAGCUUGUUGGUGAGGUAAUGGCUCACCAAGGCGACGACGGGUAGCCGGCCUGAGAGGGUGACCGGCCACACUGGGACUGAGACACGGCCCAGACUCCUACGGGAGGCAGCAGUGGGGAAUAUUGCACAAUGGGCGAAAGCCUGAUGCAGCAACGCCGCGUGAGGGAUGACGGCCUUCGGGUUGUAAACCUCUUUUAGUAGGGAAGAAGCGAAAGUGACGGUACCUGCAGAAAAAGCACCGGCUAACUACGU
RNAcentral lists this ribosomal RNA (306 nucleotides) under Curtobacterium sp. R11.11. Its description in RNAcentral is "bacterial SSU rRNA". It matches the Rfam family "Bacterial small subunit ribosomal RNA", at positions 187 to 506 of the family's 1533-position model. The record is from RNAcentral. Lineage: Bacteria; Bacillati; Actinomycetota; Actinomycetes; Micrococcales; Microbacteriaceae.